AGUGAACGCUGGCGGUAUGCUUAACACAUGCAAGUCGAACGGCAGCACAGUAAUAGCUUGCUUUUACGGGUGGCGAGUGGCGGACGGGUGAGGAAUACAUCGGAAUCUACUUUUUCUUGGGGGAUAACGCAGGGAAACUUACGCUAAUACCGCAUACGACCUACGGGUGAAAGCAGUGGAUCUUCGUACCUUGCGCGAUUGAAUGAGCCGAUGUCGGAUUAGCUAGUUGGCGGGGUAAAGGCCCACCAAGUCGACGAUCCGUAGCUGGUCUGAGAGGAUGAUCAGCCACACUGGAACUGAGACACGGUCCAGACUACUACGGGAGGCAGCAGUGGGGAAUAUUGGACAAUGGGGGCAAGCCUGAUCCAGCUAUACCGCGUGGGUGAAGAAGGCCUUCGGGUUGUAAAGCCCUUUUGUUGGGAAAGAAAAGCAGCAGGUUAAUACCCCGCUGUUCUGACGGUACCCAAAGAAUAAGCACCGGCUAACUUCGUG
This 492-nucleotide ribosomal RNA is filed under the name uncultured bacterium. RNAcentral's name for it is "partial 16S ribosomal RNA". It matches the Rfam family "Bacterial small subunit ribosomal RNA", at positions 29 to 507 of the family's 1533-position model. The record is from RNAcentral.